GAUGAACGCUGGCGGCGUGCCUAAUACAUGCAAGUCGAGCGAACAGACGAGGAGCUUUCUCCUCUGACGUUAGCGGCGGACGUGUUAGUAACACGUGGAUAACCUACCUAUAAGACUGGGAUAACUUCGGGAAACCGUAGCUAAUACCGGAUAAUAUAUUGAACCGCAUGGUUCAAUAGUGAAAGCCGGUUUUGCUGUCACUUAUAGAUGGAUCCGCUCCGCAUUAGCUAGUUGGUAAGGUAACGGCUUACCAAGGCAACGAUGCGUAGCCGACCUGAGAGGGUGAUCGGCCACACUGGAACUGAGACACGGUCCAGACUCCUACGGGAGGCAGCAGUAGGGAAUCUUCCGCAAUGGGCGAAAGCCUGACGGAGCAACGCCGCGUGAGUGAUGAAGGUCUUCGGAUCGUAAAACUCUGUUAUUAGGGAAGAAAAAAUGUGUAAGUAAAUAUGCACGUCUUGACGGUACCUAAUCAGAAAGCCACGGCUAACUACGUG
RNAcentral lists this ribosomal RNA (497 nucleotides) under uncultured bacterium. Its description in RNAcentral is "partial 16S ribosomal RNA". It matches the Rfam family "Bacterial small subunit ribosomal RNA", at positions 28 to 507 of the family's 1533-position model. The record is from RNAcentral.